CGACCUCAGGUUAGGUGAGACUACCCGCUGAAUUUAAGCAUAUUAAUAAGCG
This 52-nucleotide ribosomal RNA is filed under the name Hycleus polymorphus. RNAcentral describes it as "partial 28S large subunit ribosomal RNA". The record is from RNAcentral. Lineage: Eukaryota; Metazoa; Arthropoda; Insecta; Coleoptera; Meloidae.